RNAcentral lists this non-coding RNA (24 nucleotides) under Arabidopsis thaliana (thale cress). Lineage: Eukaryota; Viridiplantae; Streptophyta; Magnoliopsida; Brassicales; Brassicaceae. The record is from RNAcentral.
GGGUGGGACCCACGACGAAUGGUU